This is a long non-coding RNA of Setaria italica (foxtail millet), 1471 nucleotides long. RefSeq lists it as uncharacterized. The record is from RefSeq and is a predicted model, not a curated record. Lineage: Eukaryota; Viridiplantae; Streptophyta; Magnoliopsida; Poales; Poaceae. The transcript is spliced from 2 exons.
AAGCGAGGGGACGGACGGAAUCAGCCUCUCAGGCUCUCAGCAGCAGCUGAGUGCACAUACAUGUCCAGCUCCAAACCCAAUCCAUGGUUCCUUCUGGCACUCGCGAGAGAUAGAGAUAGGGAUAGAGAUGGGUAGACGGUGGCUGUGCAUGGUGGAGAAGCAGGGCACGUGCAUUACCAUCCAAUGCCGCCAUGCCCGGCCGCUCCAUGCUCCUCCCCCUCCUCUGAUGAGCUGAGCUCACCAACCUUUGUGGAUCCAUGGAUGGAUGGAUGGUUCUUCAUGUGCCCAUCUUCUCCACCGAGCACAAACUGUCUCAGCAUGACGAGCCGUCUCACCAAGUGGUAAGCCUCGCCGGAGUGGCGGAGUCUCGUUUGCGGUUCCUCCCAUCGCUCAUCAGCGGCUCUCACUUCGCAUGCUCAUCAGCCCAUCCAUGCCUUGGAUAUUCUUGUAUAUAUGUCCCUUUGCAUCUCUGAUUUCCUCUUUGUUCCUUAAUCUCGGUGACUCCAUAUGGUGUUCCUUUUUCGAGAACAUGCCUGUCAUUUAAUUUUUGUUUACCUUGAGAAUUCAUCAGUGUUCUUUCAGGAGAGGACCCAGCAGUAGAGUUCAACUCGGACCACUCUUUUGGCUGUUUGCUUGAUCUUCAGCUGUUCUUGGAAUUAACUUUCGGGUUGGAUUUGUUUUAAUCCACAGCAAGUCAGCAACUCCGACCAAAAUGUCAUGAUGGCGUCGUUUUCUCAGCGAAAAUGCAGGCGAUCGGGCAAUCACACUAUUAUCCUCUGUGACAGAUUUAUGUAAUAUUGUCGGUCGGAAACUUGGAAUGACAUGAUUUCUCUCACAUUUAGUAAUCCUCGACCCAAGGAUUGCUUGCUUCUGAUGGGCAUGGCGCCGAGCUCUUCCGUUCGUCUGUCUCAGUUAUCAGGAGCCUCAUCUCAUCCCCGAUCGAUAUGGCGUCGGCAUCAACAUGGCAUAUAUCCUAUGCGUUUCUGCCGUACAAACAACAGCAGCUGUGAAAGGAACAAUCACGGUGCUGUUGCUAUCCUUCCCUCCAUGAAUAGUAAAGCAUUACAGGAAAAAAAGAGGAAAAGUGUUCAUCUUGGUAUGGGCGCAUGGUGGCGAAGGCGAUCGCGGUGCAAAGCCGUGGGCAGUUCACAACACUCAUCUGCACUUCGACAGUACAACAUGUCAACAUGAGAUGCCAUGAUGCUUGCACAGUUCAGUCGGGCCAGAUAAUUGCUGGAAAUCUAUUUCUGGAAGCUCUAGAAUUAAUUAGUAUCGCCAUUCGCAAGCGCUUUCGCACUCUCUGAAAUUGAUUACACAAAUCCUGAAGGAAAUUGAUUCCAUGGUUAUGUUUUCAAGCCUUUCAGGAACCUUAAUUAUAUAUGUGUACAUGCGGUAGUCCUUUUCAUAAAGCAUAAAAGGCACUUCUCUCUCUUUGUAAUCAAUUGACUUCAAGAUGUACCGCAUUUUGAAA